AGCAGCCGCGGUAAUUCCAGCUCCAAUAGCGUAUAUUAAAGUUGUUGCAGUUAAAAAGCUCGUAGUUGAAUUUCGGGAUUAGUACGUUGGUCGUGCCUUCGGUACGUACUGGUGUUACUGGUUCCUACCUUCUGACGAACCAUCAUGUCAUUAAUUUGGUGUGGUGGGGAAUCAGGACUGUUACUUUGAAAACAUUAGAGUGUUUAAAGCAGGCUCGCGCUUGAAUACAUUAGCAUGGAAUAAUGAAAUAGGACGUUGACCCUAUUUUGUUGGUUUCUAGGAUUGACGUAAUGAUUAAUAGGGAUAGUUGGGGGCAUUAGUAUUCAAUUGUCAGAGGUGAAAUUCUUGGAUUUAUUGAAGACUAACUACUGCGAAAGCAUUUGCCAAGGAUGUUUUCAUUAAUCAAGAACGAAAGUUAGGGGAUCGAAGACGAUCAGAUACCGUCGUAGUCUUAACCAUAAACUAUGCCGACUAGGGAUCGGAUGAUGUUAUUUUUAAUGACUCA
This 505-nucleotide ribosomal RNA is filed under the name uncultured Glomus. RNAcentral's name for it is "SSU rRNA". It matches the Rfam family "Eukaryotic small subunit ribosomal RNA", at positions 569 to 1078 of the family's 1831-position model. The record is from RNAcentral. Lineage: Eukaryota; Fungi; Glomeromycota; Glomeromycetes; Glomerales; Glomeraceae.